GAUGAAGAACGUAGCGAAAUGCGAUAAGUAAUGUGAAUUGCAGAAUUCAGUGAAUCAUCGAAUCUUUGAACGCACCUUGCGCCCUUUGGCCAUUCCGAAGGGCAUGCCUGUUUGAGUAUCAUGAACACCUCAACUCUUUAUGGUUUUCCAUGAUGAGCAUGGACUCUGGGGGUUUUGCUGGCUCACAGUCGGCUCCUCUAAAAUGAAUCAGCUUACCAGUGUUUGGUGGGUAUCAUGGGUGUGAUAACUAUCUACGCUUGUGGUUUUUCCACCAGGUAACCUUCAGCAGCGGAGGUUCGCUGGAGCUCAUAGAUGUCUCUCCUCAGUGAGGACAGCCCUUUGAAUGUUUGAUCUCAAAUCAGGUAGGACUACCCGCUGAACUUAAGCAUAUCAAUAAGCGGAGGA
This 405-nucleotide unclassified non-coding RNA is filed under the name soil metagenome. RNAcentral's name for it is "partial contains 5.8S ribosomal RNA, internal transcribed spacer 2, and large subunit ribosomal RNA". The stretch from base 1 to 121 matches the Rfam family "5.8S ribosomal RNA", at positions 35 to 154 of the family's 154-position model. The record is from RNAcentral.